Molecule: ribosomal RNA, 492 nt
Filed under: uncultured bacterium
Lineage: Bacteria
Description: partial 16S ribosomal RNA
Rfam family: Bacterial small subunit ribosomal RNA
Source: RNAcentral
GACGAACGCUGGCGGCGUGCUUAACACAUGCAAGUCGAACGGAAAGGCCCCCACUUUUUUGGUGGGGGUGCUCGAGUGGCGAACGGGUGAGUAACACGUGGGUGAUCUGCCCUGUACUUCGGGAUAAGCUUGGGAAACUGGGUCUAAUACCGGAUAGGACCAUGGUUUAGUGUCUCAUGGUGGAAAAAUUAUUGUUUUGGUGCAGGAUGAGCUCGCGGCCUAUCAGCUUGUUGGUGGGGUAAUGGCCUGCCAAGGCGUCGACGGGUAGCCGGCCUGAGAGGGUGGACGGCCACAUUGGGACUGAGAUACGGCCCAGACUCCUACGGGAGGCAGCAGUGGGGAAUAUUGCACAAUGGGCGCAAGCCUGAUGCAGCGACGCCGCGUGGGGGAUGACGGCCUUCGGGUUGUAAACUCCUUUCGUUAGGGACGAAGCCGCACCUUUUUUGGGUGUGGUGACGGUACCUUUGUUAAGAAGCACCGGCUAACUACGUG